RNAcentral lists this ribosomal RNA (370 nucleotides) under uncultured eukaryote. Its description in RNAcentral is "partial 18S ribosomal RNA". It matches the Rfam family "Eukaryotic small subunit ribosomal RNA", at positions 592 to 976 of the family's 1831-position model. The record is from RNAcentral.
CAAUAGCGUAUAUUAUAGUUAUUGCAGUUAAAAAGCUCGUAGUUGGAUUUCUGGUCGGAAGCUCCUGUCCUCUGAUGAGCGUACAAGUGCGUCCUACCAUCCUUCUGUUAACCUUUAAGGCUUUCGCGGCUUUCUAGGGGCUCAGAUAUUUUACCUUGAGAAAAUUAGAGUGUUUCAGGCAGGCUAGCGCCGGAAUACAUUAGCAUGGAAUAAUGGAAUAGGACUUUUGCCUCUUCUGUUGGUCAUGAGGCUCGAGUAAUGAUUAAUAGGGAUAGUUGGGGGCAUUAGUACUUAACUGUCAGAGGUGAAAUUCUCGGAUUUGUUAAAGACUAACUUAUGCGAAAGCAUUUGCCAAGGAUGUUUNCAUUAA